This 327-nucleotide long non-coding RNA is filed under the name Vigna radiata. RNAcentral's name for it is "long non-coding RNA (VRAD_LNC012820)". The record is from RNAcentral. Lineage: Eukaryota; Viridiplantae; Streptophyta; Magnoliopsida; Fabales; Fabaceae.
AAAAAUUCCAUCUUCCUCCAAAUGAAUCAGCAUUCAUUUCUUAGCACAGAAAUUGAAUUCAGCCGUGACACCUCAUCAAGAGCAAUGCCUGCUGCACCUUCUCUAAUUAAAAUUCACGCCUCUUCUUCAAAGAAAAUGAAUGCCAGCGUCAAAUAAAAAAUAAAAAAAAAAAGCAAGCAAAUAUUAAAAUUAGCGCCGUGCUCUUCAAAUAAAAAGUGAAUCAGCCACCUAAGAUUAAGAAAAAAAAAACGAAAUCAACUCUUCAAGAAGUUGACGUGACCGUGUUGCACCAGCUCUUCCAAAGUGGUCUCUUGAAUACGUUCCAGC